RNAcentral lists this ribosomal RNA (506 nucleotides) under uncultured bacterium. RNAcentral's name for it is "partial 16S ribosomal RNA". It matches the Rfam family "Bacterial small subunit ribosomal RNA", at positions 30 to 523 of the family's 1533-position model. The record is from RNAcentral.
AUUGAACGCUGGCGGCAGGCCUAACACAUGCAAGUCGAACGGUAACAGGAAACAGCUUGCUGUUUCGCUGACGAGUGGCGGACGGGUGAGUAAUGUCUGGGAAACUGCCUGAUGGAGGGGGAUAACUACUGGAAACGGUAGCUAAUACCGCAUAACGUCGCAAGACCAAAGAGGGGGACCUUCGGGCCUCUUGCCAUCGGAUGUGCCCAGAUGGGAUUAGCUAGUAGGUGGGGUAACGGCUCACCUAGGCGACGAUCCCUAGCUGGUCUGAGAGGAGGACCAGCCACACUGGAACUGAGACACGGUCCAGACUCCUGCGGGAGGCAGCAGUGGGGAAUAUUGCACAAUGGGCGCAAGCCUGAUGCAGCCAUGUCGCGUGUAUGAAGAAGGCCGUCGGGUUGUAAAGUACCUUCAGCGGGGAGGAAGGGAGUAAAGUUAAUACCUUUGCUCAUUGACGUUACCCGCAGAAGAAGCACCGGCUAACUCCGUGCCAGCCGCCGCAGUAA